GAACCAACAUCAAAAAACCCAAAAUUUUUCGAAUUUCAAUUAUACUACUCCCUA
This 54-nucleotide transfer RNA is filed under the name Calumma oshaughnessyi. RNAcentral describes it as "tRNA-Gln". Lineage: Eukaryota; Metazoa; Chordata; Lepidosauria; Squamata; Chamaeleonidae. The record is from RNAcentral.